AAACUCUCCCUGCUUGGCGUGCCUGACUCCACCUGCAGGUGGAUCACUGACUUCCUGUCUGACAGGAAGCAGCAUGUGAAGCUG
Long non-coding RNA from Etheostoma spectabile (orangethroat darter), 84 nucleotides. RefSeq lists it as uncharacterized. The transcript is spliced from 3 exons. Lineage: Eukaryota; Metazoa; Chordata; Actinopteri; Perciformes; Percidae. The record is from RefSeq and is a predicted model, not a curated record.